Molecule: ribosomal RNA, 376 nt
Filed under: uncultured organism
Description: partial 16S ribosomal RNA
Rfam family: Bacterial small subunit ribosomal RNA
Source: RNAcentral
GUAGGUGGCAAGCGUUGUACCGGAAUUAUUGGGGCGUAAAGCGCGCGCGAGGGCGGUCCUUUAAGUCUGAUGUGAAAGCCCACGGCUCAACCGUGGAGGGUCAUUGGAAACUGGGGGACUUGAGUACAGAAGAGGAAAGCGGAAUUCCAAGUGUAGCGGUGAAAUGCGUAGAGAUUUGGAGGAACACCAGUGGCGAAGGCGGCUUUCUGGUCUGUAACUGACGCUGAGGCGCGAAAGCGUGGGGAGCAAACAGGAUUAGAUACCCUGGUAGUCCACGCCGUAAACGAUGAGUGCUAAGUGUUAGGGGGUUUCCGCCCCCUUAGUGCUGCAACUAACGCAUUAAGCACUCCGCCUGGGGAGUACGGCCGCAAGGCUG